AGUACAAAUAGAAGGCCACCGGCAUCAGGAUCUGCGGAUAAUUACCCGAAAUAUGUGCGGCAUAAGAAGUAAACUAGAAAUCCCAGAUUUCACUGAAAUGUGUAAGAAAUAUUAUGUGCUGUGCUUCAGUGAGACAGAAACAGACGAUAUAGACAUACCAGACUUGACUGAAAAAAUUCGUUACAUGGGCUUCCAAGUGUUUAUCAAGAAUCAACAUAAUCUUACAAAUCCCCAAUCAGACAGAGUCAUAAUCACAGUAAGUAAUGCUAGUGGGAAUAAGUGUGUACAGAAAAUGUCCAUAGUGAUGCCUGUGUAUGUGUACAAAUUAAUAGAAAUAUACUGAACUAUAAGAAAGACUGCCAUACAAGAGUAGAUAUUUAGUAUGUUUGAUGAUGUAACACAAGCUACGCUAUCCUUGACCUUUCUAUUGAUACCAACUAUCUUCUCCUCUGUGGGGACAUGAAUGCGAAUAACAAAGAAAGAGAAGAUUGGGUUAUGGGUUAACCUUACAAAUAAAAGGGACAUGGAUGAGCAUAUUAGUGGAAUGUUGUGUACUGCCAAAAAACUGGAACUGGCUCAAAUACCAUUGAGAAGAAAAUCAAUGGAUACAUCUAGAUACUGGCGGUUAUGGCACUGCUCUUUUAGAUUUGUGAAAAAACCUUGCUUUUUGUAUCUUAAAUGGCAGAUGCAGGGAAGAUACAUAUGUAGGGAAAAGUACUUCAACUGACAACACUGUGAUUGACUACAUGAUAGGUUCCCCCUUUAUAUUAGGCAGAGCUAAAAAAUUGCAUGUGCAUGACUUUGACGGCCUGUUCUCAGAUAAGCACUGUAUUGUCGAAUUGCUGUUUUGCGGGAACUAUAAAGUUUAUAAGGAGGAACCAUUGACUCAUCAUGACUGCACACAGGACCCUGUUAUAAAAGAUGGGACAGAAAUUGUUAAAUGGCACAAGGGGAAAAAAGAGAGCAGUAUGUAGAAAAUAUACAGCUAAGAAUUUUGAUAAUCUGUUACAUAAAUGAGAUGUUAUGUCCGUGGAUGAAAUAACUGAUAAGACUGUGCAUGUAAAAAAUACAGCAUGGUUUCAUUUUGAAUGUCGAUAUAAAAGACAGGCAUAUCUUAAAGCAAAGAAGAUGCAUAAUAAAUGUAAAAGUGUGGAAAACAGGGAAAACUUAAGGGCUAAAAGUAAAGAAUAUAAAAGAGAAUUGAUUAAGAGCGCUUAUAGAAAGAAAUUUAACAGCGAGCUCAGGAAAAUGAACCCAAAGCUAUACUGGCAUGGGCGUAACCACGCAUUCUUUGGGGGAUCGUCCCCAAUAUACAGUGGAAAAAAUGGUAAAUAUGUCUUCUUUUUAUGAACCCAGUUCAACAGAACUGUCUCUUGUUAUUUCCUUUUUAUUUUCAAUGUAUUUUUGUUUAUUAAGGAAAACACUUGGUUGCUCCCAUGCACUUGGUCGCUGUGUGUGCUUACCUUCUGGUAAAAAGAGACAACGGCGGCAAAAGAGGCAGACGGACAGCUGACUGAUAAGAUGCGGGUUCGAGGCGAGCACUCAAACAACACUCACAUAACAAUAUUGCUGGCAGCAUGUCACGUGUUGUAUUGAAGUUCAUUAUUUCAGUUUUUCCGGGGCAGCCAACCUCCAUAUCACUAGCUGUUGUCCUGAGGUCUCUGUGUCUCUUUGGGUUACUUGCUUCACUAAAACUAACAUUGGUGAUCCUGGAUCAUCGGAAGCAUGAAGAUUGUUAUCACAUGUCUCUGUUAACGCUGGGGUUUCCAGCCAUGGAUUAUGUUUGUUCAGCAAAUAUUAGACUAAUGUGGUUUUUCAUACCUUUGGUUCGAAGCUAGCAGUUGAGCAGAGGUUAAAAGAUCAGGUCCUGUAGAAGUGGCACUAUGAGCUCCAUUAUGUCAUCAUGUGACUUAUAUUGUGAAGUUAAAGACGAAAAGUAUCUACUUUGUGAAAACAGGAGGCUAUUUGUAAUUUUCGAGUUUCUCUGCAGUAGCUCAGUCUUAAGGCCUUGGCUUGGGGACCGGAGGGUGGCCAGUUCAAGUCCAGCAUGGACCAGUCGCUACGGAGGUGGACUGGUAGCUGGAGAGGUGCAAGUUCACCUCUGAGGCACUGCCGAGGUGCCCUUGACUAAGGCACCUAACCCCUAACUGUUACGGUUUUGGGUUUAGUUAGUCAUUUCCUGUUUUAUUUUGUAACACUCACCUCUACUUGUGUAUAUGUACUUUACUUCCUGUCUAUGUUUAGUUUUCUGUGUCACCUGUGUUGCAUCAGUUAAUCAGUCUCUUGUGUAUUUAGUCCAUGUGCCUUCCCUCUGUCACUUGUCAGAUCGUCUGCAUUUGUUCCCCCCAGUUCUGCGUUUUAUCUUCAGUCUUGCAUUUUUCUAGUUCCUCUGUGUUCUUCCUGUGUUUCCCUUUUGUUCUUGUCUUCCCUGUGGAUUUACCGUUGUUGGACUCUUACAUGGACAUCUCAGCUGCCCUUAGUUGUUUUGUGUUCCUCCCCAGCACAGAGAUAACUCCACCAGACCACCCUGGGCAGCAGCAAAAGGAGGAGGAACAGAAGAAUGAAAUGGUGUGGACAUGAAGACAGUGUGCUUUCUCCGGCAGGCCAAACCUUACAGACUGACUGUCUGAGUAAAUAAAGCGAGACCGAUGAGGACUUGGCACUGAUUGCUGCUUUGAGAGAACCAGCCAAGAGAGCAAGCGAUGAUUCAGCAGCCCCAGACGUCUGUAAUCGCCACUUCACUGUCUUCUGCUGCCUCCUUUUCAGCGCAGUGCAGAUCUCUGUUUUCCAAAAAUAUCUAAGUGUUCAUUACGGGGUGCUGCUGCAGGAGACAUGGGAAUUACUUGCGCGCUUUAAAAUCCUUAAAAGAGACGUGCAUUUUACCCUAACUUUCUGGAUUUCUAUCCAUAUUCCAUUACUUUAAAUGACAUUUUUGGAGGGAGCUCUUAAUCUACGUAAAGCUUGUGAUAUGAGCAGUGAGGCGUGGAUACGCGCUUAUUCCAAUUCUCAUCAUCAUCAUCAUCAUCUCAGAUGAUCCCACUAAAUGUAAUCAGUGUUAUAAGUUUAGACUUGUACUGAGGUGUCCUCUGUCCUCUCGAGGAUCAGCCAAAUCUCACAUUAGCUAAACAAUAGCCAGGAGCAGAGGCAGCCUGACAAUGGGAUCCAUCAGGGGGCAGAAAUUUAAGACACUAUGCUAUACAGCUACGUUUCUAUCCAGGUGUCUGACAGGUUUUAAGUAAACGUUUUAAAUGUCACAAAGAAAGAUACUGAAUUACUGAAAAUAUACUGUAGUGAAAUACAAAAGACUUUCAAAAAAUCAAUUACUAUUGUGUAUUUUUGUGUUGUUGUGUCAGCUGGCACUACUGACAUUAUAAGACAAUUCACAUAUACUAAUAAAAUUGAUACUAAUCAAUUUGUUGCUGUUGCAUUUCUUGUUGUUUGAAGAUAAGGCAUGCACUUGAAUGA
Siniperca chuatsi (mandarin fish) is the source of this 3465-nucleotide long non-coding RNA. RefSeq lists it as uncharacterized. The transcript is spliced from 3 exons. Lineage: Eukaryota; Metazoa; Chordata; Actinopteri; Centrarchiformes; Sinipercidae. The record is from RefSeq and is a predicted model, not a curated record.